GGUGGAAUUGGGAGACCAGUUAGGAGACCACUGCAAUCAUUCAAGAGAAAGAUGAUGGAGACUGGGAAUAAAAUUGCAGCAAUGGAGAAGGUAAAGCCCACAGGACGUGCUGAAGAUGGGGUGUGGCAUAAGAGAAAAAGAGAGAACUUCAAGAUGACGUCAUAUUUCUUGUCCCGGUGGCAGCUCUAAAUAUCAGUUGGACUGGUACUGAAGAAAAAACAGGACAAAAAGGCCAGAAGGGUAAAGGUUUCCAGCCACCUCACCAUCACCACCAUCAUCAAUAAAAGAAUUAUGGGACGAGUACAGUGGCUCACGCCUGUGAUCCCAGCACUUUGGGAGGCAGAGGCAGGUGGAUCACUUUAGCCCAGGGGUUCAAGACCAGCUUGGGCAACAUGGCAAAACCCCCUCUCUACAAAAAAUACAAAAACAAACAAACAAAAAACCAACACACACACACCUACAAAAAUUAAACUGGCGUGGUGGUGGCACAAGCCCGUAGUCCUAGCUCCUUGGGAGGCUGACAUGGGAGCAUCACUUGAGGUGGGAGGUUGAGCCUUCAGUGAGCCAACAUCACACCACUGCACUCUAGCCUGGGCCACAAAGAGGAAUCAUGUCUUGAUAUAAAAAAAAAAAAAGAGAGAGAGAAUUCUGCAUGUCUUUACUUCACUGCCCACACGGCUUGAGCCACAGUCAAAGAAGCAGGACAAUGUCAGGGUCAUUUUAAAAAAAGAGAGAGAGAGGACUGUUUUGUGUUCUGAAGGAAAAAUAAAAGCUUUUGGCUAAUGG
Pan troglodytes (chimpanzee) is the source of this 786-nucleotide long non-coding RNA. RefSeq lists it as uncharacterized. The record is from RefSeq and is a predicted model, not a curated record. Lineage: Eukaryota; Metazoa; Chordata; Mammalia; Primates; Hominidae. The transcript has 3 exons.